CCUCACUGAUGCCUCACAAGUCACAAUAACCUCAUAACUCGAGUUGAAAUCGAUUUUGUGACUUUUUCGUAUUCUGGCGAAAACCUCACAGUCACAAGAACCUCAUAAGAAAAAAAAUCAAAAUCAAUAACCAAUUCCAAGAAGACACCCCAAAGCAAUGUAUCCCAAAACGUCUUCCAUUGGAUGUUGGUUGCAUCUGGAGAUAGUUUGUUUCUCAAAGUCAUCGAAUUAUAUUUGCGACAUGGCUUUUGCAUCGGCGUUACUUUGGACGACGAUCACAGCAUAAUGACUUUAUGCUUAAAACGGAAAGAGAGCUGGAGUAGCUCAAGGGGUGGCCAUAUCAUUCAUUACUUCACUCAAAUCGGAAGAGAAAACCAAGUUCAAGGAGGCAAAGCAAACGAGCCAUGUUCGAACCAUAGGAUUUCUUUGCAUACGAAGAACCAAACAAAGAUGAACUCAAAAGCGCAAAUUUCUGCUUCGAUUCAGUUAAAUACCUAACCAUAACAAAGCAUAACAACAAACGUAUCAGCACCUAAUAUGUAUCAAUAAAAAUAACCAGAGUCUAACGAAUUCAACCCCAGCUGGAACAACAUCGACAAAAGCAACAAGAUGCAAAAAAUAUCACAACUUCCAGAAGUCGUUGAGAGUUCACUUGUUUUACCUGGCACUAUUUUAAAAAAUAAAAUUUAAUUGAUAUUUGAUAUAAAAAGAUCUUUACAGGAAUAAAUUUAACAAACUAAAAGAAUUUGUAUACAUUUUUUUUAAUUUUUUUAUUAUUAAUAUUAUUUUCAGUAAAAUGAUUUGAUUAUAAUUAUACAUGUACUAACGUUCAUCUAAAAAUAAAAUUUAAUUAAUAUUCAACAAAAAUCAAAAGUUUGUCGUGUUUUUGUCAAAUACAUGGGUUUGUGCCAUCUAUUCAUGUAAGGGAGACGGACAUUUGUCAUGUCAACAAAAGUCAGCUACCAUCUAGUGCACGUGUUGCUUCCUCCGUUACCGAUGGGAACGCACUGAGAGUUUUGUUGUUGUCUUACUUCAUAGAAGGUGGAAUAAAAAAUGCAACAACAUAUUAACUGUCCAAUCGCAAUAUACCUAAUCUGUUGGCAUUUCGAAAAUAGGUAUACGCAUCAAAAAAAGUAUUCAGUUCUGUAACGUGUAAAGCAAAACCCAAUUAGCUUAUAUUCAGUUAAACGAAAAUAUCAAUGCAAUACCCACCGGCUAGAAUAUAAAUAUAUUUGACAAACAGCAUCAGUUUUCAUGAUGUCAAAUUCGGAUCCACCCAUCGAAUUCUAAGUCCAAAUCUGCGAAGUAAAUUGCAACACAGUCUUUUCGUCCAUUUUUUACUCGCGCAUUUUAAAUUCUCAAACUUUUAAUUAGAUGCUCAAGCCAUAGCACAUAAACACAUUCAAAGUUAGAGCAUCCCACCAGCAGUCAAUGAAGUUUUGCAACAAAAGUAGGUGCGAACUGCGAAUAUGAUUUCUGUAAAUUGGACUGGUUAUAGUGGUUAUGUUGUGCUGAUGGAGUGAAUAAAUUUAUGGUCAACCGACUGAGAUCCACCGGGCAAAUGUGUAGCACUUGCGUACUGUCAUGGAUACGUUGAAUGCAACGCAACCUAUAUAAAAGAUUGAAUCAUAACUUUUUAAAAGAAAUAUCCCACAAAACAAUAAAUUUUACUUGUUGACAAUUGUAAAAAAUUCAGAAAGAAAUGCUGCUGUCAUCACAGGUUGAUAAUGAAUAAAAGUUCCAUAAUUCCAACUUCAUCGUCAUUGUUUUCCUCCAGCAUUGCUCAUCGCCCAACAAAUCUUUCACAAAUACAGUUGUCACCCACUCGUGAUUGACUCUGAAGUGAAAAUAUGAAAAUUAAAAAUAGUUUAAAAAAUGGAAACGGACUGCUUUUACCGGUUUAUUAUCUGAAUGACUUCCAUUACUUGCACCUUCGUCAUCGGAUAUCAUACUUUUGGCUGGGAGGAGGCAAUUGGUAUCAAUGACAAAUGGAACUUUUAUUGAACAUCGUACUCUAUGUGCUGCAUGGGCUUUAGGUGGUUGUUUUCCUGCCGUUUCUUUGGAUCUACAUUAUUAUUGUUUGAUGGAUGGAGUCGGUUUAUGUAGAACAUGCUGAGGAGCACUCUCAUCGCCGACCAUAGGAUAUUGUUGACUUCAUCUGUGUACUAA
Long non-coding RNA from Episyrphus balteatus (marmalade hoverfly), 2169 nucleotides. RefSeq lists it as uncharacterized. The record is from RefSeq and is a predicted model, not a curated record. The transcript is spliced from 2 exons. NCBI's taxonomy places the organism in Eukaryota, Metazoa, Arthropoda, Insecta, Diptera, Syrphidae.